This 253-nucleotide ribosomal RNA is filed under the name uncultured bacterium. RNAcentral's name for it is "partial 16S ribosomal RNA". It matches the Rfam family "Bacterial small subunit ribosomal RNA", at positions 524 to 776 of the family's 1533-position model. The record is from RNAcentral.
UACGUAGGGUGCUAGCGUUGUCCGGAUUUAUUGGGCGUAAAGAGCUCGUAGGCGGCUUGUCGCGUCGGAUGUGAAAGCCCGGGGCUUAACUCCGGGUCUGCAUUCGAUACGGGCAGGCUAGAGUUCGGUAGGGGAGAUCGGAAUUCCUGGUGUAGCGGUGAAAUGCGCAGAUAUCAGGAGGAACACCGGUGGCGAAGGCGGAUCUCUGGGCCGAUACUGACGCUGAGGAGCGAAAGCGUGGGGAGCGAACAGG